Molecule: ribosomal RNA, 478 nt
Filed under: uncultured bacterium
Lineage: Bacteria
Description: bacterial SSU rRNA
Rfam family: Bacterial small subunit ribosomal RNA
Source: RNAcentral
GAUGAACGCUAGCUACAGGCUUAACACAUGCAAGUCGAGGGGAAACGACAUCGAAAGCUUGCUUUUGAUGGGCGUCGACCGGCGCACGGGUGAGUAACGCGUAUCCAACCUGCCCAUCACUUGGGAAUAACCUUGCGAAAGUAAGACUAAUACCCAAUGAUAUCCAUAGAAGACAUCUGAAAUGGAUUAAAGAUUUAUCGGUGAUGGAUGGGGAUGCGUCUGAUUAGCUUGUUGGCGGGGUAACGGCCCACCAAGGCGACGAUCAGUAGGGGUUCUGAGAGGAAGGUCCCCCCACAUUGGAACUGAGACACGGUCCAAACUCCUACGGGAGGCAGCAGUGAGGAAUAUUGGGUCAAUGGACGAGAGUCUGAACCAGCCAAGUAGCGUGCAGGACGACGGCCCUAUGGGUUGUAAACUGCUUUUAUAAGGGAAUAAAGUGAGCUACGUGUAGCUUUUUGCAUGUACCUUAUGAAUAAGG